UGAAUGGGUGGAAAGCAGUAGGUACAUCAAACAGAAGAUGAUGUUAAGCAGGAAGCUAUCUUUGUGGGUCUGUCAAACGCUCAAAGAGGCUUCAAUGUGCAAGGGAAGGAACAUCAAAACGUGGAAGAGUGGGGACCACUUCACAGACAUUUACGGCUCUCUUAAGCAUAAUAAAUUUGGCAGAUAUAUAUGCUUAAUCUCAGUGCAAGGCCACAGA
RNAcentral lists this long non-coding RNA (217 nucleotides) under Nicotiana benthamiana. RNAcentral's name for it is "long non-coding RNA (NBEN_LNC037140)". Lineage: Eukaryota; Viridiplantae; Streptophyta; Magnoliopsida; Solanales; Solanaceae. The record is from RNAcentral.